RNAcentral lists this transfer RNA (70 nucleotides) under Marmota monax (woodchuck). Its description in RNAcentral is "tRNA.Ala". The record is from RNAcentral. Lineage: Eukaryota; Metazoa; Chordata; Mammalia; Rodentia; Sciuridae.
GGAGGUGGUUCAGUGGUAGAAGAAUGUUUGCCUAGCAUGCUCGAGGUCUUGGGUUCAAUCCCUAGCACCA